RNAcentral lists this ribosomal RNA (887 nucleotides) under uncultured fungus. RNAcentral's name for it is "eukaryotic LSU rRNA". The stretch from base 439 to 592 matches the Rfam family "5.8S ribosomal RNA". Lineage: Eukaryota; Fungi. The record is from RNAcentral.
UCUUGGUCAUUUAGAGGAAGUAAAAGUCGUAACAAGGUUUCCGUAGGUGAACCUGCGGAAGGAUCAUUAAAGAAAUUUAAUAAUUUUGAAAAUGGAUUUUUUUUUUUUUGUUUUGGCAAGAGCAUGAGAGCUUUUACUGGGCAAGAAGACAAGAGAUGGAGAGUCCAGCCGGGCCUGCGCUUAAGUGCGCGGUCUUGCUAGGCUUGUAAGUUUCUUUCUUGCUAUUCCAAACGGUGAGAGAUUUCUGUGCUUUUGUUAUAGGACAAUUAAAACCGUUUCAAUACAACACACUGUGGAGUUUUCAUAUCUUUGCAACUUUUUCUUUGGGCAUUCGAGCAAUCGGGGCCCAGAGGUUAACAAACACAAACAAUUUUAUCUAUUCAUUAAAUUUUUGUCAAAAACAAGAAUUUUCGUAACUGGAAAUUUUAAAAUAUUAAAAACUUUCAACAACGGAUCUCUUGGUUCUCGCAUCGAUGAAGAACGCAGCGAAAUGCGAUACGUAAUGUGAAUUGCAGAAUUCCGUGAAUCAUCGAAUCUUUGAACGCACAUUGCGCCCCUUGGUAUUCCAGGGGGCAUGCCUGUUUGAGCGUCAUUUCCUUCUCAAACAUUCUGUUUGGUAGUGAGUGAUACUCUUUGGAGUUAACUUGAAAUUGCUGGCCUUUUCAUUGGAUGUUUUUUUUUUCCAAAGAGAGGUUUCUCUGCGUGCUUGAGGUAUAAUGCAAGUACGGUCGUUUUAGGUUUUACCAACUGCGGCUAAUCUUCUUUUAUACUGAGCGUAUUGGAACGUUAUCGAUAAGAAGAGAGCGUCUAGGCGAACAAUGUUCUUAAAGUUUGACCUCAAAUCAGGUAGGAGUACCCGCUGAACUUAAGCAUAUCAAUAAGCGGAG